UUCUUAGUCUCAGACUUAAAAGUCUCUGUUAAAACGAGAUAGCGUUAUAUCACUGACAUAAAUCUAUCCCGUUUUAACCGAAACUUAAGUCUAAGCAAAGUCAACGUAGGCUCUAAGAG
Molecule: long non-coding RNA, 119 nt
Organism: Maniola jurtina (meadow brown)
Lineage: Eukaryota; Metazoa; Arthropoda; Insecta; Lepidoptera; Nymphalidae
Exons: 3
Source: RefSeq, a predicted model, not a curated record